RNAcentral lists this unclassified non-coding RNA (3540 nucleotides) under Megachile rotundata (alfalfa leafcutting bee). RNAcentral's name for it is "bipolar kinesin KRP-130-like, transcript variant X4". The record is from RNAcentral. Lineage: Eukaryota; Metazoa; Arthropoda; Insecta; Hymenoptera; Megachilidae.
UUUAAACGCAGAUUUUCUAGUACCUUAUUGAAAUUUAAUUAUGUUUUAUGAUUUUUCAUGCAUGGAGUUCAAACAAGUAAUGAGCAUGCAUUUAUACACUACAGCGCUCCUACUGGCCUCUGAAAGUACUAUGCACUUUAAAUUCGUAACGUUUAAACCGUAACGGGUAAAUUUGUAAUUACUUUGAAGAAAAGUGGAGUUCGUGGGUACGAAAAGAUCUAAUACAAAAAAGACGACGUAAAUAACAAUAAUCAUGAACGAUACAAAAAUUAGUAGAAGAGAUAAAUAUCAACAUAUACAAGUCUUUGUUCGUGUUAGGCCAACAAAUGCUAUCGAAAAAAAUAAUAAGUCCAAAACCGUAGUGGAAAUUGUUAAUGACAAAGAGUUGUUAGUACAUGAGCGUCCAUAUGAUAAGGUUUCUAAGAAAUUUAAAUUUGACAAUGUAUUUGGACCCUUGGCAAAACAAAUUGAUGUGUACAAUGUUGUUGUUAAUCCUUUGUUGGAACAAGUUUUGGCUGGAUAUAAUUGUACAGUGUUCGCAUAUGGUCAAACUGGUACUGGGAAAACAUUUACUAUGGAAGGAAUCAACAGUGACCCAACUUUGCAUUGGCAAAGUGAUACAUCUGCUGGUAUGAUACCACGUUCUUUAAGUCAUCUAUUUGAUAAAUUACAUUUAUUGGAAACAAGGGAAUACACAAUUAGAGUUAGUUUUUUGGAACUCUACAAUGAGGAUUUAUUUGAUCUGUUAUCAGUUAAUGAUGAUUGUUCCAAAAUAAGAUUAUAUGAAGAUGCAUCAAAAAAAGGUGCUGUAAUUAUUCAUGGUUUAGAAGAAGUAACAAUACAUAAUAAAAGUGAAGUUUAUAAAAUUCUGGAAAAGGGAUCAGAAAGGAGACAAACUGCUGCAACAUUGUUGAACAGUCAAUCUAGCCGUUCUCAUACUGUAUUUUCAAUAACUGUACAUAUGAAAGAGAAUACCACUGAGGGAGAAGAAGUUUUAAAAACAGGAAAGUUGAAUUUAGUAGAUCUUGCAGGAAGCGAAAAUGUCGGGAGAUCUGGUGCUAUUGAAAAAAGAGCAAGGGAAGCUGGUAGUAUUAAUCAGUCCCUAUUAACUCUUGGUAGAGUUAUAACAGCACUUGUUGAAAGAGCACCUCAUAUACCUUAUAGAGAAUCGAAACUCACGAGAUUGCUACAAGAAUCACUGGGUGGUCGAACAAAAACCUCCAUUAUUGCUACGAUAUCUCCUGCUGCUAUUAAUCUUGAAGAAACAUUAUCAACAUUAGAUUAUGCACAUCGCGCGAAAAACAUUACUAAUCGCCCAGAAAUAAAUCAAAAACUGUCGAAAAAAGAAUUCCUUAAACAGUAUACAGUUGAAAUUGAAAGAUUACGAAAAGAUUUAGAAGCAGCACGUGAGAAGAAUGGAGUUUAUCUUGCAAAUGAGAAUUAUCAAGAAAUGCAGACACAGAUCGCUCAAUUGAAUAAAGAUAUAGAGGAGAAAAUAAAUCAUAUAAAAGCGCUUGAAAAAACUGUUCAAGAUAAGGAGAAAAUAUACAAUGAUCUUGAAGUACAAACUCUCGCACAAAUGAAGGAGUUGUACGAAGCUAAAAAUAAAUUAGAUAAUGUUACGGGCGCCCUUAAAUCUACGGAUGAACGAUUAAAAAUGACGAUCGAGGAACGAGAUAGACAAAAGCUCCUAGUAGAAAAAUAUGUUAAUACAGAACAGUCUUUACUAAAUCAAGCACAAAAUUUAUUGAACGUCGCAGAUACAGCAACGUCAGAUUCGUAUAAAUUACAUGAUAAGAUUGGACGUAAAACUCAAGUCGAACAAACGUUUGAGGCCCUUAGUGAAGAGUUCAGAAACAAGGUUUCUAACUGUGCACAAGGAAUUGAACAAGAUGUUAGCACGUAUGCAGAAAGAUUAAUAAAUUGUUUUACAUCUAUAAAGAAUGAAAUUGGUCUGCAUACUAGUAAUAAAUGCGAAACUAUGGAUACAGCAAUACAACAAAUUUCAAUGGAUCUUAUUAAGCAACAUUUAGCUGAUAUUGAUAGUUUGAAGAAGAAUAUAAAUGAAUCUUAUUCAAAUGAUCAAAAGUGUAUAGAAGAUAAAAUUGCAAAUCCAGCAAAUGCUCUAGAAUGUGAACGUGAAUUGUUAAAUGAAAUUUCCACGAUAUUGGCAAACAAUAUUCAAAAUAUAAUGAGAAAUGCCAUUAUUAAAAAUUUGCAAACAAUAAGGAAUAAUGUAACCCAAAAAUUAAAACAAACUUCAACUCUUAUGAAGGAAAUGAUAGAUUCUGCAUGUAAUGCUCAACUAGAAGCUUACAAUAACAUAAACAAAAACAUUAAAAUUAUUGCAACUGAUGUAGAAAUGCUUCAGAAAAGGCAACAGUUUACAGAAAAACAGCAAUUAUUCGCACAGAUGAUGCAAGAUGCAAGUUCUCAAUUCAACCGUUUAUAUAAGUGUCAAGAAGAACACUAUUCUUCUGUAACUGAUAAAUGUACUUAUGUCAGUAAAGUCUGUAAUGAUAUGACUGAAUACUCAACAGAAAGUUAUAAUAAGAGUGUCGCGAUGCAAAAUGAUCUAAAAGAUCAAAUACAACAUAACUUAGAGAAAAUUGAAACAGAUAUCAUUCUUAAAACAGAAGAGAAUGAAGAAUUAACAGACAAAACAGCGGAACAAGGAAAGAUUCUAAUUAGUGAAUUAGAAUCAAAUAUAAGUGAAAGCUGUAAUACAUUGAAACAAUAUAAAGACCUUACCGAGAAUAGCGUUAAAGAAAUGCAACAAAAAAUAGAUAUGGAUAGAAACAAAGCUCUUUCAUUGGUUAACAACGCACAGAAAAUAGUUACAAGUGUAAGUAAAGAUUAUGCAGAAUCAAUGAAAAGCCAAGACAUUAAAACCUCUGAAUCUUCGAACGAAAUAAUCAGUAAACUAGAGGAUCAAAUAACGGAAUCAAGUGCAUGGAGCAACAAAACUGUUCAUCAGUUGCAAUCAGCAGUGAACGAAAUUAAUCACUUCUUUGAUGAAGAUCUAAAACGCGAUGUUCCAACAGGAACGACUCCUGCGAGGAGAGAAUUUUCUUAUCCUCGUCAGUUUGUUGCAACAUCUCCUCAUGAACGAAUUCUCCAAAGAUUCAGACAAGUUAAGAAAGUUAUUGAAACAUCAGAAGAUGAUAAUGAUACGUAUAUUACGAGUGGCGACAUAACAAUGAAACAAAUUGCACACUCAACUCUUCUACAUGAUACUACUGUUAUAUCUGCUGCAACUGAUAACACAUUUACCGAAUCUACCUCUAACAACGAUCUCUCAUCAAAGAACUUGGAAACACGCACUUUUGUAGAUUCGCACAUUGAAAGUAUUGUAUCCAGAUCGAAUGUGUAGAAAGCGUUGGAAAAUAUAUUAAACUGUACUAGUUUAGAACAGUUCAAAGAGAAGAAAAUUUUAUCGUUUUUUUUCUCUUUUCAACAGAACAUGGGAUACAAAUAAAGAGAAUACAGGGAAUGUUGAUUAAUGUAUAACCGCAUAGAAAGAAAUUAAUGAAUUGUACA